RNAcentral lists this long non-coding RNA (846 nucleotides) under Oreochromis niloticus (Nile tilapia). RNAcentral describes it as "lncRNA (ENSONIG00000029199.1)". The record is from RNAcentral. Lineage: Eukaryota; Metazoa; Chordata; Actinopteri; Cichliformes; Cichlidae.
AGGUUUGAAUAAUGGUCACGUGACGCACUAUUUGGUCACGAGGUCAUUCCGGAAAUUUGGGUUAAUUACGCGAUGUUCUAAUUUUACUCUAAUUCUUCGCCAUGAAAGAUCUGUUUUAAAUGAAUAUUUUAAAUAGAGAAAUAUAGAAUUUUUUUUUGUGGAUUUAUUCCUGUAUGCAGUGUACGAGCUUCAGUCUGAAGGAUGCCAUCAGAUCACCGCAAGGUGAAUGGGGGCCUGAGUGAUAGACCGAGAACCUUUCAUCUCACCCAGUGAGUGUAAAUAGCUGUCAUGUUUGAUUGGCGGUUUGACGUGCACGUGAUGCCCUGGAAGAGGGGAAGAAAUUCAGUGAGGACGCAGUGCAUGAUGGUUUCUCUGUCUGCAAACUAAAGAGGUUGUUUGUGCCAGCAGAAACCAUUCAUGAAAGAUGCACCCCUGAGGCUUACAGAGGUAUACUCCAUCAUCUGCUAAGCAGGACAAAAGAUGACAGCUCUUUGCAAGAGGUUCUUCUCAUGUGUUGCCACAAAAGUUUCUGCCCCCUGUGAUUGAUAAAUACAGCAUUUUGAGUGAGUUUUAAGGUGGCAUGUAUAAAAUGUUGAUUUAAUUUGUCAGGUUGUUGAUGACAACCUAGGCUUUGUUGUUUAGUUGUCAUCAUAGAUUAGUGAAAAAAUCUUAAAACACACUGAACCCCACAGUAGUACUCAAAUGAGUUCAAAUGUUUCCAGUAAUGUGUACGUAGUUGUAUAUAAUUAGCAACCAGCAAUUGGAGGUUAUAGGUAUCACCAGUCUUUACACUAUGUGAGAUUGGCCAGUUGUCACUCAGCAGAUUAAACCAAAAGCAUGUCUCCU